Pyrgilauda ruficollis (rufous-necked snowfinch) is the source of this 312-nucleotide long non-coding RNA. RefSeq lists it as uncharacterized. The record is from RefSeq and is a predicted model, not a curated record. Lineage: Eukaryota; Metazoa; Chordata; Aves; Passeriformes; Passeridae. The transcript has 4 exons.
AGAGUUGAAUUAAUUUGUGUCAGAAGUUGGAUUCCAGAAAGCACUUAUUAAAACAUGAGGAGUCCAUGUUCCAGAUGUCUUCAUCUGCUGUUCUUUGAAGUGUUUACCAAGAAGCUUUUUUGGAUAAAGAAAAGGCCGUGGGGAUUUCAGUGACAAAAGGGGCACUGCAGUCUGUUCCAGACACCUUUCUUUUCUGCUCCACAUUUCUGUAUGAGAGAAAGAAAUCUGAAACAGCUGCUGAAAUUACUGGAAUUAUUUACUGCCUGCAGUGCAACCCUCACAUUCCAGGUCAGGUAACUUGACAAAUGCCUG